Meleagris gallopavo (turkey) is the source of this 7888-nucleotide non-coding RNA. The record is from RefSeq and is a predicted model, not a curated record. Lineage: Eukaryota; Metazoa; Chordata; Aves; Galliformes; Phasianidae.
CAUGGAGCUGUGUGAGGGGAGGGCAGCUGGGGCUUAGGGACAGGUGCUGCAGCAGAGGGCGGUGGGCAUGAAACGGGCUGCACAGGCCCUCCGAGUGCUGGAGUUUAAGGAGCGUUUGGACACUGCUCUAGAGUUUGAAUGUUGGGUGGUCUGUAUGGAGCUGGGAGUUGGACUCAGUAAUCUUUGUGAGUCCCUUCCAACUCGGGAUAUUUUAUGAUUUUUGUGAUUCUGUGACUGUAUGAUUCUUUGAAGAGCAAGGAGUGCAUCUGUGUUGUGCGAGGCAAGGCGUAUUGUGUUUAUGGGUUCUCCAGAUGUCAGGCUUUUGAAGCAGUAUAGAUAUGACCUUGAGUUCUCUUCCUAGCUUUGCCACUUGCCUUCAGCUAGUGUUCAACUAGUGGGUUUAACUCUCUAUGCCUCUUCCUCUGGUUACCCUUUGCCUUUAAUGGCCACUGAAACUAAAUUAUUUAUGGUAUACUGAUGUGUGUGAGCUGCAGUUUGAGCCAAGACUCAUAUAGGCUAUGCUUCCGUAUGCAGCAACCCCACUAUGGGGACUGCUUUACUUUGAUAUCACUGAAUUGGAAAAACUUUCUCAGUGCUUUGUGUGUCUGUGGGGGUUCUGUGUACAUACAGAGGUAUUGUAAUAACCACCUUAUCUCAUAGCUGAGGGAGGGCAUCCGCACUGUUCAGAAUACUGUUAGAGGGCUGCAGUGGCUGAGGAUACUGGCACCAGACAUUUUCAGUUGGUCUGCAGUUCCUCAGUCUGCAUACUUAGCCAGUUUCUUUCCUGCUUGAUCAGAUUUAUAUCUAAGUUGUUUUCACUGUUAUUCAAAAGAAUUAAUUUUACAGAGAAAAACUUUCUAUAUUCUCCUUUUCCCUUCUCAUUUUGGAUUUGUUAAAGAUUUGAAAUGAUAGAUGAAGCCUCUAGUACUGGGAUGGUGGUGCACUUACCAGAACCAAAACAUGAUAAUGCUGAGCCAUCAUAUAAAACAAAGGAAGUAAGAUCUGUAAACGCAAUUAGCGGGAAGAGUUGUGUUUAGAACAUGAGAGAUUCUUGUACAAUUUUUUUCUGCCGUUCUCUGUAAAGUGCUUUCACAGAGCAGUAACUAUCACAACCUGUCACACCAGUGUCAAACAGACAUAGAAGAGCUGGUUGAAUUUCUAACAGAGGUGUGGAGAAGAGUAAGACCAUACUGGAUUGCUUUUCAGCCUUUGUAGAUAAAGCUGUUCAUUGCCAUGCUGGUUAGGUUGUAUUUCUUUUUCCCGUCUAAUGUUUUGUCCUUGGUAAGAUUUGAGUUCAAACUGGUGAUGACUUCUGUCACAAAAAACAGUAGGGGAGUAGGGGGACGCAACACAAAAAUGGAAGUAGAAAUGUAAUCUCAAGCCUUUCUUAAAUUCAGAAUUCGUUCUUAAUAGAGAUUGCUUUAACUUCAGUUUCUCGUGUGUGUCACCAGAAUAUUUAAGAGUAUUGAAUUUCAUGCCCUUUGCUUAGAGAUGUGUGUUAACAAACAGUGUAGAGUAAAUGUAAGCAUAAUUGCUAUUCUGUCUUCAAUAACUAUAUGUCUAGGUGCCUUCUUAAUCUCUUCCUUCCAACCCCUUUAAUUUCAGUCAUAUGGAACCCAUAAGGGCCAUGUCACCCAGCCUGUAUGGCAACAGCUUUCCCCAGUGUAUUAGUAAUGGUCUUCAAUAGCAAGGUCAGAAAGACUGAAGUGCAAAACUUGGGAAUGAUUGCUUUUUGUGUAGUGUGGCCCAUUUAGAUUGUUCAAAGAUUCUGGAAACCUUUCUUCUUAAUUUUGUUAAUAUACUUGCUUUCAGUGCAAUCUCAUCUCACAUCCAUCUGAAACAUGACACUGACUAAUCUUUUCAUUUGCUUAACCUGUUUACUAAACCCUGAUUUUCCCAGACCGCCGAGGAGAACACACAAAGGUACACUUUAAGAAUAUAGAGCAGCCAGCUGCUAAAAUAAAGGUAUUGAAUAUAGGAAGUAGGAGUUCUUUACAGCAAUUUAAGCUAAUCUGUCUAACUUUGUGUAGAAGGUGGAUAGAGGGACCUUGUGUAACAGGGGAGUGGUGUACAGCAUGGGAAUGGUGAGCUCUUGGGCUGCUCUGCAAGAGAUGUAUUCCUUUCCUGUCCUUCCAUUUUGAAACAUGUCACUAAAAUAAGAAACAACAACCAUGUGAAAUUCUUUGAAAGCUUUCACAUUAUUUUGCAUAUCAUAAAGAGGCAAAGGCUGGCAACUUCUUCUUUGUGGACAACUUUACUCUCUCUUUACUUGAAUAGCUUUAGAUUGCUGCUUCAGAUUGAUGAUGUUCCAAUAAUCACAUUAAUGUACAGGCUGAACUUGAAGACCUGUAUUUUCAUUUCUUUAUAGAUAUCUUAAAAAUGGACUUUUGAGGAUGAGAUGGCUCUUAUUUCCCUUAAAUAAAUUACUUCAGGAAGAGGUGAUUAAAAUCUAUUUGUCUAGUUUAAUCCAUUGAUUUUAAAUUGUAUGUCUUUCCCUUGUGGAACUAUGCUUUUGAUAUUUUUUUUGAUCUAAGAUUACCCAGAAACUUAGUACUCUUAACAAGAGGGAUUGUGAAGCUUUGGCAUUUGUAAAAGAUACAGGUAUGAAAUGAUAAAAGCAUGUUCUUUCAAGGAAGUUUACUCAGUUUUGGUUACUGUUUGUUUUUCUAGUUUCAGAAACCUUCUGCUUCAUCUCCCAUUGCUGUUUUUAUAGAUAAGAAGGAUUCUAUAAUGCAGGCUGAAGGCUGCGAGUGCCUUUUCUGUCCCCUCAAAAUUUUCUGUUCUGGAGCUGCACCCUUUCAGACGCUUUGAACUUGUGGAAGUGGCAGGGGCAACUUUCGGAAACAUGUAGCUGCCAAGCUGCCUGUGAUGUGAACUUAAAAUAGACCCGACUGGGAAAAGCGGGGAGGACUGUCUCCAAGUGCCGCUCUGCAUGUCAGGACUGUUUUUGCUUGAUCUAUAUCGGCUGGUGAAGCUCUUUGUGAGCAGAAGAAAGAACCUCACCCCCACCCAUUUCCUCUUUUCAGGCUAUUUUGGGCUCACUGUGAAGUUCUCAGUGUACUUUCUCAGCCAGAGAAGCAUUGUGAACUCCUUCUGCUUCUACCAGAAUGAGUCAGUUGUUUUCACUGAGGUUUUCAUCAACUUCAGCCACUGUGGAGUCCAAUUUUCCAUGUGAGAAAAUGGAUGUAAGAGUCCUCCUGUCCCUAAGGUUGCAUACAUGUUCCAAGAAAAACACCUAGAGCAGAACAAAAACUUCUGAAAGAUUCUGAAAGUAACACACUUUCGGAUUACUCCUCAUAGAAAAGUCUGAAUGAUUGAAAAAUAUACAUAUAAAUGACAGAAGGAGAAUGGAAGGAGAGUUGGAAGGACUUUAUUGUUUGUUAGGUUGGGGAUUUUUACUGUUUUGUGCAGUACUGCAGGAUCCUGUAGUUCCUCAACUUCUCAGAGUGGUUUCUACUUGAACCUACUGAAAGCUGAGCAGUUCAGAGAAGGAGGGAUUGCUAUAAACUGCAAAAUGUUCUUGGUGUUGUGAAUACUAGCGUAAUCCUAGGAAACAUUUGGUUGAAAGGCUACACUUGGUGAAAUGUAAGAAUUUUCCAGAGGCACCCUUGAAAAAAAUUCCUCCGUGGGAAUGGAAAAAAUGAACGAUGUGAUUUUUCUGUUCUCGUGAAGUUUAAAAAUCAAGAACAAAUCAGGAAGGGAUUAUUCAUAUCUUCCUGCAUCAUCGUAAAUCAUCCUAGCAUAAAAAAAAAAAAGAAAAAAGUAAAGAAAGAAAGAAAGAAGGACUUGCAUUCACUAUUCAAAAAUUCUUUGAAGUCUCCUGCUCCUUCCUCAGUCACAGUGAGGUCAGUUGGCAGUUUCUGACUUCUCAGCAUAGACUGCUAUGUUGUAUUUUGCAUUGUAAAACUAUCAGUCUUCUGACUAUAUGAAUAUCCCAAAAAGGUAUGUUUGGGGAUUAUUUUCAAGGUGAACAAGUUUUUUCUGGAAGAACCAGCUGUCACCACUUUGCCCCCAAAUUUGUAAUUUUAUUAUUUGGAAAUGUUUUACUUUUGGGUGUUGAGUUCAUCUUCUGUGCUUAACUGAGAUCUGAAGUCUUUUGGGGUGAGUUGUGAGACAAAAGGAACUUUUUAACUUUACAUUUCUACAUCACUUAUUUUUGGUGUUGUUUAGUCUGUACUAAAAUCCUAGGUAAAAGCAUGGGCUUUGUUGUGAACACGUGAGGAUGUUUUCAGAUGUAGUAACUUGGAGUCAGUCCUGGUAGUGAUGUUUUCUCCCAGGCUUUUAUCUUGUCCCAUCUCUUCCCUGAGCAGAGGCACCCUGGAACAGCUUAUUAUUUUCAUGGCAGUAUCAGCUUCUCCAGCCUCUCUUGCUGUUUCUUCAGUCACUUGGUAACACGUUGCUAUUAUUUUUCUUCAGAAGUAAGUCCUUGAAUCUUCCUCGUUUGUCUAUGCACUGAAAAUAAAUAUAUUUUGUUAAGUCCUCUCUACCGCUGUCAGAAAGUUUUUGGGACACCAGCUUGCUGUUUUUUUUCCUUAGAAUUCAUAAAGUUGCAGCAAAAAAAUGCGAAGAUAUUUGGGGAGGGGUGAGAAGAGCAGUGCAGCCUAGGCUUCCAAGCCUGACAUCCCCACCAUGACUUGUAUUUUUCUAUAUGGCUAGCAGGCCUAAACCUAGAGUGAAAUGUAUUAUAGUUAUGUUGUCUCAGAGCUGGCUGCCAAUGUUUUGUUUUGGUUUUAAUUCCUUUGCUACUAAAAAUUUGCUCUGCAAUCUCCUGCCCCUGACUUCUGGCAGUAAAGAAUUUAAAUAAAUAGCAUUUUCCUUUUGGGAUGGAGGUAUAAUUUGUUAGAGGUCAAAUCAGAGACCUUCAUGGUUGUGUUUUAGGGAGCCCAGGCUCAAAAUACUAUAAAAAUAGUUAUUUGAAAUAGCUCCUUGUAGGUAUUUCUCUAGCAGCGUGUUUUCUCAUGUUGGCUGAUGGAGGAGAGUGGCUGCUGGGGGUUGGGUAAGCAAGGGGAAACACAUGGGGUUUCUUUCAGCGGCUGUGGGAAGAGUUUCCAUCCUAGUGAGCCAAGCACAGACAGCCCAGCCCAGCUGAUGCUGCUCUCUGAGGAAGGUUGUUGUAAGCAGCUGAAGUGUGCAGGCUCAUAAAUCCUGGGAUGUAUCGACGUCUUCGUCAGUGCCAGUCUGAGUGCAGGAACAUUCUCAUUCAGGCGUUGCUCCAGGUGGCUGGGGACAAGGCAGGGUUACGUAUUUACAGCCACAGCAGCCUGUUGCUAGAGCCUGUUACCACUGUGCAAUAGCCCUGGUUUGUAGUAGCUGGGUCAUGACAUUGGCAUAAGAUACUCUGCACAGCUGGGCCCUGCCCGUGCCAGAUACCAGUCCCAUGGUACGAGCUGACCCAGCUGCACUGAAAGUCUCAUUCUUUUCUCUGUUAUUUCUUCAGUCAAACAAUGCAAAGGGAGAGUUACAGCUAAUGCAGGCUCUUGCACACACGUGCAUGAAAUACGUCAAUAUUAAGCAAACACAAGUCUGUUCUUUCUUUCCUUUUCUUACGGCUUCUUCUUAAACAUCUGCAGUUGUCCAAGCUGCAUGUAUUGCUCUGCUAACAGCAGAAAGUGUAUUGAAAUAAAAAUAAAAAAGAGUGUGUAUAUGCAUUAAAAAAUAUAAAUCCCACUUUCUGUUUCAGUUUUGCUUUGGGAAGAGCAGUUUCAAGCAUUGUGGAAUAAUGCAAGCAGAACGUUUUUCUAAUGAGCAUCAUUUCAUUUGAGUAGGAAAUACAGAAAUAGGAAAUAGUGCACAUUACACAGGUCAGUAACUAAGGCCCAAUUACAUACUUAUUUGUAAAGUGUCCAAUUGCAAAGGUCAGCAGUCAGCUUUUUUCUUCAAUCUCAAGUGUCUCAUAGGUAUAUAUUUACAAUUCCUGCAUCAGCUUCAUAAGCAUAAAAUGAGCUCCAAGUCUCUUAGUUGCCUUGAGGGUUUUCUAGAUUGGGGACAGGCUUUGUUUCCUAAGUUUGAAUCUAGUCCAAGAAAGAGGUUUAAAGUAUUACUAUAAAAGAAUAGAUAUAAAAAUGCAAUUAAUAAGUAUGGGAUAAUGCUGACAAACAAGUGAGGAAACACUUUUUUUAAUCCUGAUUCAGAUGGCAGUCUGAAUCAGGAUUUAGCUCAGAGCAAAUUGCCAGUCUGAAACAUACAAAAAUCAUCUGCCAAGCCUUAAAGAGAGAAAGAGAUAGGGAAUCGCUUAAAAUAGUGAUGUUAGGAAAAAUCAACAAAUGACAUCAAACCAACAAAAGUUUCCAGUUCUUUUUAUUUGUUUACUGGCUUUUUAUUUCCUCUUGGGAAACUCUGCAGCCAGAUUUUCAGGCUGUCCUCUGCACUUACGGGAACCUGGAAGGAUUAGCUUUUAAAUGGAAGCCAAGUUUCUCAAGAAGAAACAUGACUCCAGGAACUGGGGACUUAGAAGAAAAAGUGCAAAUGUCAGAGUAUUAGAGAUGGCUUCCUUGAUGCCCGGCUUUCCCACAAGCCAGGACAGCCACAGUCCUUGACAAAGCAACAAGAUGGCGCACAGAUGCUACUGGAAGCCAUUUUGAAAGGCCUGGAGGGCAAAGGUGGGACACACUGUGUGUUAUCAGGCCUGCUAACUCAGGCAUGAGGCUUCAAGGGGCAGCACGUAGCAACGGGGCUCCGUUGUUCCGAUCUGUCUCUGCUUUCUGGAAAGCACCACAGGGCGCGAUGUGAGAAACCAAGGGUGGAGCCGCGUGCUUGCGUGAGCAGCCUCAGCAGGACCGGGCCUGACCCUCUUCCCGCUGAAAUCAAUGGGCACCUCGCCAGUCCCGUCAGCGGGACCAGGAUCCGUGCCAACAGGGAAAGGGAAGCCAACUGAUGAGGCUCCUUCUGCGGCCUGUUCAAGGAGAAACAUUUUUUAAAAAAUACAAUAGCACAAGUAGGUGAAAAGAAAUUGACACCAUUAACACAGAUGCUUCCACUCAUACCCACAGGGAGGUGUAUUUGUAGGCAAUGUGUCUAUAGUUCUGGCCCCUAUUGCUCCAAGAGUACGGGAGGCUCGGUGGCUGGCUUUGCUCUCCAGGAGGGGAGUUGGUGCGGGUGUUGGGGCUGUGGGACAUGAGGAAUUGGAGGACGGGACAUCUGGCAGCCAGCAGCUCUGUGGCGGGCUUGCCAUGAGGGCAAGGAACAUGCUGUUCUCAAUAAGAGACAGCUGAGAAACCCCUUACUUAAAAAAAACAUGGAAAUCUCAUCUUAAUGACCCAGAUCUUCCAAAGCUUUUCCUAACUUUUCUUCUUUUCAUUAGUGCUAAUCUUAUUUCUUAAUACCAAUUUUCUUUCCCCUGAGGAAUUUAGUAGGUAAUGGUGUCUUUACCUUUUUCUCUCCCACAGUGAAGUUUUUGAAGUGAUUUUUUCAUUUCUGAAGAGGACUUUCUGGAUUGUUUGUUUAAGUAGAAGUAGAAGUAGGUCAACUAUUUUGUAACUGCACUUUUGCCUUUAAAAGCAAAUCACAUUAAAAGUGAUCCUUCAUAUUUCUCAGUGUAUGUGCCAGCUAUGUGUAAUUUUAGCUUGUGAUAGUGGUGAUGGGUCAUUUUGGGCAAGGGAAAACAAACUCUCUGGAAUCAGUGGUGAGAGCAGAGUAGGAAAAUAGCAAAAGCACAUGGAAUUAUUUCCUAAAAAAUUUAGUGUUUAGUGAGAUUUUGGAAACCCUAUGUGUAGAACAGUUACAGCUCCAAACUACUGUGUUUUAAAAACUGCUUACCUUAUGCAAGGACUGCAAGCAGAGCUGUUACAGUAGUUGGAUGUCCGAAAGCACAUUCUUAUUAUGUUACCUGGAGAGUUCUUCGGGUACCAAAUCUGCUCAUAUUAAUCACAUCCACACCAGUAAAACAAAC